This 314-nucleotide unclassified non-coding RNA is filed under the name Hevea brasiliensis (rubber tree). The record is from RNAcentral. Lineage: Eukaryota; Viridiplantae; Streptophyta; Magnoliopsida; Malpighiales; Euphorbiaceae.
GCGUGCUUUGAUGGAAGUAAGCAAAGUGGCAGGCUGGGAUUCACGGAAUUUCAAGUAAGUUAAUUACUUUUUAAUUACUCUUUACCAUAGUUUUUCUAAGUCUCAAUUUUAAAAAAGUUCAUCAAAAUAUAGACACUUUUAAUUAGAGUUGUGCACGGCUCUCAAUAUUCCAAACUGAACCAAAAAAUUAUACUAGACUGAUAAGAACCAUAUUGACUAAACUUAUUUCAAUAUUUUGGUUAACUUAUUUCAAUAUUUUGGUUCAAUUUUGAUUUUUCAUUAAAAAUCAUACCGAAUUCGUACUAAACUGAGAG